This 253-nucleotide ribosomal RNA is filed under the name uncultured bacterium. RNAcentral describes it as "partial 16S ribosomal RNA". It matches the Rfam family "Bacterial small subunit ribosomal RNA", at positions 524 to 776 of the family's 1533-position model. The record is from RNAcentral.
UACGAAGGGGGCUAGCGUUGUUCGGAAUUACUGGGCGUAAAGGGCGCGUAGGCGGCUUCGAUAGUCGGGUGUGAAAUGCCUGGGCUCAACCCAGGAACUGCACUCGAAACUUCGAGGCUAGAGUGUGGGAGAGGAUAGUGGAAUUCCCAGUGUAGAGGUGAAAUUCGUAGAUAUUGGGAAGAACACCGGUGGCGAAGGCGGCUAUCUGGACCACAACUGACGCUGAGGCGCGAAAGCUAGGGGAGCGAACUGG